GCAUUUUUCAUUUCAAUAAUUGCAUGCCAUUCAAUUCAAACGCACAUAUCAUGCAAUGCAUUAGUCUUGUCAUGUGCAGCAUAUUAUCUUCAGUGUAGAUCAAAACUUGGUGCAACAUGCAACACUAUAUACCGUUUUCUGUUCUGGGAGUGUUGCUAUCGAUUGGUUCACAUGGGCCUCAAAUUUGGACCAAUGCUCAAACAUUCAGUUUUCCGGAUAACAAAAAACCACCCGAUCAGGGAGGCGAUUUAACAAGGCAGUUAGCGACAAAUGUGAGCUCAGGAAUUAUUACUGGAAUUUUAACUGGUGCUGUUCCGUUGCAAACUGGCCUCUCACCUAUACCUCUUACGAAUGGAUCAAGUAGCACAAAUCAAACCUGUACCUGUGUCCCAACUGGACGCUGCACUACAACUCCUGCUCCGAAUGAUGGUGCUGGGAUAAUUGAUGUUCGAAUU
Ochlerotatus camptorhynchus is the source of this 455-nucleotide long non-coding RNA. RefSeq lists it as uncharacterized. NCBI's taxonomy places the organism in Eukaryota, Metazoa, Arthropoda, Insecta, Diptera, Culicidae. The transcript has 3 exons. The record is from RefSeq and is a predicted model, not a curated record.